UGAGUGUUAGCUCUUCAAAGGACCUCUAAAUUCCCUGAGGACACAGAUUGUCUUAGAUGCCACAACAAAAGGGAGCCACCCCCAUGGAAUUCAUGCUUCUGCCAACAAGAGAAAUAGUCUUUAUCCUGCAUGUCUGUGCACACAGUGAUUUGAACACACAGGAAUUAAUCCUGCAGUCUUCUGCCCUUUUCCCCUUUCCCAUCUUCCAUUAUACCCGGGUUCCAACACUGCCAUAGUAACCAACAGUCACAGAGCACACACGUGUUCUCUUCAUCGAGGAGACUCACAACUCAGAAGCAUUCCUCACAUUACCGGUUCACGACUGAAGACUUUCAGAGCUUAUCUAGCAGGAAACUGUACGGAACAGACUUAGAAAGGCAAGCAGCACUAACAGGACCUCUACUAGGAGGAGACUGAGGAAAGUCUACCUGAAUGCAGAAGAGUCAUUCCCUUCAGAGCCUGCCCUGUGGGCCCUCGAGGGUCAUCGAUCUGCUUCGGACUCUGGCGGACAUCAGAACACUUCGCUGUUGGCACGAUGCCGAGGGCCGGGAAGGAGCUCGAUCCACUUGGCUUCCUCUACUACUAAGACUGACAGAUGCUGGGGAGCAGAAGAUCUGUAUUGUAUACCAUCAAUUGGAAAAGCAAGUAGUUUCAGUAACUCAUCAACGUCACAUAUGCAGAAAGUUUGUUUGAGAUUGGUGAACAAAAUUCAGAUAUACCCAGGUGAUAGAUACGCUGGAAAUCCUGUGGUGAAUGCUGGGAACAAAGAGUCACCUGAACACGAAGCUACACAUCUUUUCUUUAGGCUUUCUAGGUGCCAUUUACCAUCCAGAUACAACUGUUUAAUACAUGAAAGGGAGUGUACGGGACCUAUUAAAAUGAUUCAGAAUUUGCAUAUAGGAGUGUCUAGGUACUGGGGAGGUGCACGGUCAUCAUGUUUAGCAGAGCAACUUGGCUGACUGUUGUCUUUCGUAUGCAGCACUUGGAGUUGUCCUCUUAAGAAUAUUUGUAAAAAAAAAAAUAAGACUGAAUUUCUCAGUUUUGUACUUGAUCUUAGCCAAAAGGCUGAGAAGUGAUUAAAUUUCUCCAUUUUGUACAAUCUUUGUGGAAACUCAUUUAUUUGAGCACAGACAGAGAAGGAGAGAGGAAGCUUUUCACACUUAAGGCAGACAAAAUGGGAACAGUGUAUAUGGGGCCUAUGGGCCUUCAAAGAUAGCAAAAAGUCAAAAUCCAUGCUGUGACUCAUAAUAAAAUCAAUGUGAACUAAUGUAGUGCACCACUUCAGCACGAAGGCUCUCCCAAGCAACUUCACUGAAUUUUCAUUCUACUAAAUGUAGCAAUUAUUGCCAUUUUAAACCACUCUCCUGUAAGAUGUAGACAAAUGGCCGUGGAUUGUUUGGAAAAACCUUAGUGUUCAAUCCAACUUUGGAGAAAGAGUUCGAGGCAAGAGCUCUGCUGGUGGGAAAAGCCAGGUCUGUUUCUGAGAAGGAGAAACCCCAGGCUGCCCUCUCUAUCCCUGUACCAUGGAAUCAGACAGGCAUCGCCCUUGAUCACCAGUCCACUUCAUGAAAACGGACACCUUCCCAGGCUCUCCUUCAGUGUUACGCUGCCCACGGCUGGCUCCUCCACACUGAUUCUUCUAGUGCUAUUUUCAAAGUGAGAGUUGUUUUAUUGUCUUCUGUUCAUCAGAACACUGCACAUCAGUGUGUAUAUACUGAGUGGUUUAUGGCAGAAUUUUACUAUAAAUUGCCUGAACAUGAAAAGCUGCAUACAUGCAAGACCAAGAAUUCAUAGCAUUAAAAUAAUUGGAAAUUAAUCUUCCACGCAAUAACUGGAUAUUUUUCAGUACACAUUGAAUAGAGACUUAAGGACGGCCUUUGAAUCCUGACACCAUCUGUGUAGGAGUUAGAUUUCUAUAAUUUACCAUCUGAAGAGAGCGAUUACCUUGAAAAUAAAUGAAAUAAUAUAAAUACUAUAAAAUAUCUUAUACUAUAAAAUAUCUUUAAUCCCAUGUAGAAAAAAACAUACCUUUUACGGACACUUCUCGUGGAAUAUUUAAGGACAUAAAAGAAAUAUACAUUCGCUGUCAGCAAUUAGCCAAAGAAACCAAAGAAAGUGAAUAU
Long non-coding RNA from Fukomys damarensis (Damara mole-rat), 2123 nucleotides. RefSeq lists it as uncharacterized. The transcript is spliced from 3 exons. The record is from RefSeq and is a predicted model, not a curated record. NCBI's taxonomy places the organism in Eukaryota, Metazoa, Chordata, Mammalia, Rodentia, Bathyergidae.